Molecule: ribosomal RNA, 312 nt
Filed under: uncultured fungus
Lineage: Eukaryota; Fungi
Description: eukaryotic LSU rRNA
Source: RNAcentral
AACGCACCUUGCGCUCCCUGGUAUUCCGGGGAGCACGCCUGUUCGAGUGUCAUGAAGCUCUCAAGCUUAGAUGUCUUUAUUGCUGUCUAGACUUGGAUUUGGACUUUGCUGUGGCCCUAGGGAAAUAGCUGGUCCUAAAUGCAUUAGCUGGUCUUUGCGAAGGCUUGGUUCUACUUGGCGUGAUAAUUAUCUAUCGUCAAGGACACUCUUUCACGAGGGUGGCCAGACUCUCCUUGGACUGCUUCUAAUCGUCUUUGGACAAUUAUUCAUGGAUCUGACCUCGAAUCAGGCGGGACUACCCGCUGAACUUAA